UACGUAGGGGGCAAGCGUUGUCCGGAUUUAUUGGGCGUAAAGCGCUCGCAGGUGGUUCGUUGCGUCGUGCGUGAAAGACCCCGGCUCAACUGGGGGGUGUCGUGCGAUACGGGCGAACUGGAGGCCAGUAGGGGGAUGCGGAAUUCCGGGUGUAGUGGUGGAAUGCGUAGAGAUCCGGAGGAACACCAGCGGCGAAGGCGGCAUCCUGGACUGGUCCUGACACUCAGGAGCGAAAGCGUGGGGAGCGAGCCGG
This 253-nucleotide ribosomal RNA is filed under the name uncultured bacterium. RNAcentral describes it as "partial 16S ribosomal RNA". It matches the Rfam family "Bacterial small subunit ribosomal RNA", at positions 524 to 776 of the family's 1533-position model. The record is from RNAcentral.